AACCGCAAAACAAGCAGAGGGGGCUUAGUGGUGGGGUGACUGCGUACCUUUUGUAUAAUGGGUCAGCGACUUAUAUUCUGUAGCAAGGUUAACCGUAUAGGGGAGCCGGAGGGAAACCGAGUCUUAAUUGGGCGUUAAGUUGCAGGGUAUAGACCCGAAACCCGGUGAUCUAGCCAUGGGCAGGUUGAAGGUUGGGUAACACUAACUGGAGGACCGAACCGACUAAUGUUGAAAAAUUAGCGGAUGACCUGUGGCUGGGGGUGAAAGGCCAAUCAAACCGGGAGAUAGCUGGUUCUCCCCGAAAGCUAUUUAGGUAGCGCCUCGUGAAUUCAUCUCCGGGGGUAGAGCACUGUUUCGGCUAGGGGGCCAUCCCGGCUUACCAACCCGAUGCAAACUGCGAAUACCGGAGAAUGUUAUCACGGGAGACACACGGCGGGUGCUAACGUCCGUCGUGAAGAGGGAAACAACCCAGACCGCCAGCUAAGGUCCCAAAGUCAUGGUUAAGUGGGAAACGAUGUGGGAAGGCCCAGACAGCCAGGAUGUUGGCUUAGAAGCAGCCAUCAUUUAAAGAAAGCGUAAUAGCUCACUGGUCGAGUCGGCCUGCGCGGAAGAUGUAACGGGGCUAAACCAUGCACCGAAGCUGCGGCAGCGA
RNAcentral lists this ribosomal RNA (652 nucleotides) under Salmonella enterica subsp. enterica serovar Saintpaul. Its description in RNAcentral is "bacterial LSU rRNA". It matches the Rfam family "Bacterial large subunit ribosomal RNA", at positions 566 to 1211 of the family's 2925-position model. The record is from RNAcentral. Lineage: Bacteria; Pseudomonadati; Pseudomonadota; Gammaproteobacteria; Enterobacterales; Enterobacteriaceae.